RNAcentral lists this ribosomal RNA (450 nucleotides) under uncultured organism. Its description in RNAcentral is "partial 16S ribosomal RNA". It matches the Rfam family "Bacterial small subunit ribosomal RNA", at positions 331 to 797 of the family's 1533-position model. The record is from RNAcentral.
GUACACUCCUACGGGAGGCAGCAGUGGGGAAUAUUGGACAAUGGGCGCAAGCCUGAUCCAGCCAUGCCGCGUGAGUGAUGAAGGCCCUAGGGUUGUAAAGCUCUUUCACCGGUGAAGAUAAUGACGGUAACCGGAGAAGAAGCCCCGGCUAACUUCGUGCCAGCAGCCGCGGUAAUACGAAGGGGGCUAGCGUUGUUCGGAUUUACUGGGCGUAAAGCGCACGUAGGCGGACUAUUAAGUCAGGGGUGAAAUCCCGGGGCUCAACCCCGGAACUGCCUUUGAUACUGGUAGUCUUGAGUUCGAGAGAGGUUAGUGGAAUUCCGAGUGUAGAGGUGAAAUUCGUAGAUAUUCGGAGGAACACCAGUGGCGAAGGCGGCUCACUGGCUCGAUACUGACGCUGAGGUGCGAAAGCGUGGGGAGCAAACAGGAUUAGAUACCCCAGUAGUCCCA